Apis dorsata (giant honeybee) is the source of this 904-nucleotide long non-coding RNA. RefSeq lists it as uncharacterized. The transcript is spliced from 3 exons. The record is from RefSeq and is a predicted model, not a curated record. Lineage: Eukaryota; Metazoa; Arthropoda; Insecta; Hymenoptera; Apidae.
AAUAAAAAUAUGGCACAGAAUGUUAAUUUUUAAAAAAUCUGUAAUGAAGACUAGUGAUUAAUUUGAUAUUUUGGAACACUAAAGGUGUGGCUAUAAUGAGUGUCACCACUUUAUGCUUUACGAUCAAGCUAUAUUGGUUUUGUGGACUGUAUGUAUAUGGACUGUAUACAAACAGGCCAAAGUACCGCAAGAUUUCCUUCGUCUAAAAAGGAUUUCCAUUCGAGAUUCAAAAAAUAUCGGAUUUAUUGAGCUCACGAAUGAACCGUUCUCUGGCAACAUUUCAAUUAUAGAAACAUAUAGAACCAUGUUAUCAGAUUGACCUUAUGUGCAAUUAAAUUAGAAUGGUAAUUGCAUUGGUGCCGAACUAUCAAACAGAGAAACAUGGAUGGAUUUAUGAAGUAUUAGGGGAUCAUAUUUUUUUCUUUUUUCUUUUUAAUUUAAUUAUGGUGAAACAUUGAAUAGGAUAUGCUCUAAUUUGUUUCUAUUUGGAAUGUUUCUAUAUCAAAUUAAGAUUUAAAAAUAAUGUUUUAAAUAACUUGGAUAUCUUUGAUACUAUUGCACAUUUUUAUCAAAUCUAGUUAUUCAAGAUAUGAGAAGCCUGUCAUGUCUCGAUUGAAAUUUUAAUGUUAACAUGCUAAUAAGAAUGUACCAUUAAAUUAUAAGUACUUGAUCUGAUAUAAAUUAGACAUGUUUAAAUGCUAAAGUAACAAUGUGUAUAUACGUUUACCAUUUAACUGUUCACUAGCUUAUCAAGAUUUAUCUUCUUUAUUGAAAUAAAAUCAUGAUAACCAAACUCAAUUGCGAAAUAUAGUUGUGUGUACUCAUAAUAGAAAAGCAAGUGGUAUUUCAAAAUAUAUAAUUAUCAUACAUAAUGGAAUUUAUACUUGAAUAUAAUUAAUAUUUG